UCUCAUUAGUAUCUCCAUGUAUCUUCGGUGAAAUCGCUGGCUUUCGUUCUCUGCCUCUCGAUGCCUUUUUCUCAGGACCUCAGAUUCCGCCUCCGCGUCCUUAACGGCCUGCUGCUCGCAUACCAGCUGGAUCUUCAAUUGCUGCAGCUCGACCUUUCCCUCCCCAAGGGUGACAGAUAGUUCUUCUACGGUUCUUCUCAGGGAUUGGAGUUUGCUGGAAUCCCGAGCGGGAGCAAGCUGAGCCCCUCCAGCUAGCUGCCUCUGAAGGCGGGCAACCUCGUCGGUCG
Molecule: long non-coding RNA, 287 nt
Filed under: Elaeis guineensis (African oil palm)
Lineage: Eukaryota; Viridiplantae; Streptophyta; Magnoliopsida; Arecales; Arecaceae
Description: long non-coding RNA (EGUI_LNC022659)
Source: RNAcentral